Molecule: ribosomal RNA, 347 nt
Filed under: uncultured bacterium
Lineage: Bacteria
Description: bacterial SSU rRNA
Rfam family: Bacterial small subunit ribosomal RNA
Source: RNAcentral
GGACCCGCACAAGUAGUGGAGCAUGUGGUUUAAUUCGAUGAUACGCGAGGAACCUUACCAGGGCUUAAAUGUAGUGGGACAGGUCUAGAGAUAGACCCUUCUUCGGACUCAUUACAAGGUGCUGCAUGGUUGUCGUCAGCUCGUGCCGUGAGGUGUCAGGUUAAGUCCUAUAACGAGCGCAACCCCUACCGUUAGUUGCCAGCGAUUCAAGUCGGGGACUCUAACGGGACUGCCGGUGCAAACCGUGAGGAAGGUGGGGACGACGUCAAAUCAUCACGGCCCUUACGUUCUGGCUACACACGUGCUACAAUGGUCGGUACAGAAAGCAGCCACUAUGCGAAUAGGAG